Molecule: ribosomal RNA, 457 nt
Filed under: Fornicia sp. 1 SY-2020
Lineage: Eukaryota; Metazoa; Arthropoda; Insecta; Hymenoptera; Braconidae
Description: partial large subunit ribosomal RNA
Source: RNAcentral
AAGAGUACGUGAACCCGUUCAGGGGUAACCCUGUGAAACCUAAAAGAUCGAAUGAAGAGAUUCAUCGUCAGCAUCUUCAGUAUUAAUACAAACUAUGAUGUGAUAAUAGAAUCCUUGUGGUCACUAGAUUAUACUUGUUUGUAUUAUUUCGCUGGAUAUUGUCGGCGUGCACUUCUCUUCUAGUAGAACGUCGCGACUCGUUAAACGUUUAUCUAUGGUCUAAUUGAUUGCCUUUAAUAUUUUAUUAUAUUAAAAAUCAUUAGUGUCCUGAUAAACUGUUUGACGGUAUUAUUAUGGUAUUGAGCCGCAAUUAUAUGCGUUAGAUUUACCGCAAGCAAGACUUUAUUCUAGUAGUGCGGAUUUAAUGCCGUCGCUGGAAAUUGUCUACUGUUAGCAGUGUAAAAUUCUCUAACUGGCUUAUCUUAUUACCGGUCAGCGAUGCUACUGCUUUGGGUAC